GCCACUACUCAACUCAUGAAACAAAACCAAACCCAGUCAUACAUCUUCAAUUUUUCUUUCCCAUCUUCAAUCUAAAUCACCAGUUUCCGAAAAUUGCUAAAAAAUACACCACAAUCUAGUUAGACUGAAGUCUAAUGGAGUGGUCUCAUUAUGCCCUAGCAGCAGCAUUUUCAAUUCCAAACUCAAAGCCUACUCUAACAAACUAAUUACUUAUUCACUUGUAUCUUUAAAACCAUUCUAUGAUUGAAUACCAUUGAAGUUUUUCAGCAACCAAGCUCAAAACAUUUAAAGAGAUAGUUUGAGUUCGCGCUUAACUAAAUUCCGUAAGAAAAAAGAGAGGGAAAUGGAGACUGACGCUUGAGCAAAAGCGCGUAGGAAGUGAACAUCUUGUGCGAUGUAAUGGCGGAAGGAAUCUAUGUGGAGGUUGCCGGAGGCCAAGGCGAUGACAAAUGGCGUGUACAUGGCGAAGACGGACUCGCGCGUGAACUUGAUCCAGAAGCGCCGUGCGAGUCCCGAUUCGUUGUUGACGGAGGCGGCGAUCGAUGUCAUUCUCCUUCCGAUUGGGGAUCUGAGAGUAGUGUGGUUGCGCGUUAAGGCCGAGUCGAAGCGGCAGGAUCUGAGGGAGCUGAGAAGGCGGAACGACGAUGGUGGUGAUGACGUGGCGGCGAUGAGGGUUUUGAUUGGGUUUGGGAGGAAGAACCGCAUGCGCAUCACAUCACAUCACAUCACAGGUAAUUAUUUAUAUAUGUAGAUAUAUAGUACAGUAUUACUAGAAAUAUACACGCGAAGAGAGAUGGAUAUGUAGCCGCCCGGAUAUGAUGGGCCUGGGUUUUCGGGUAUCCUGGUGUCUGAAAAUGGACCUUUAAUUUCAACGUAUGGGUGAUUCGUUUGGGCUAGUGACAAUUUUGAUGGUCGUAAAUUUUGCACCGCGAAAUCUAAUCCCCUGGAAAAGACCCAAAAAACAGAGUCUAAUCCCCUGGACCUAACUCAGGAAUAGGGCGGUGAAACGAGUCUAAUCAUUUAGGUAUUGUUUAUUUGGAAUGAAAAUAUAUGGACAGAAAAGUAAAGCAAGGAAGUGUUAGGGAAAAUUGCACUUUUUUCCUGUUUGUCCGGAAAGAAAAAAUUAAAAGAAAACUUAAAUAGUUAAAAAAGAAAAAGUAAUGGACUUCACUCACACACAAUUUUUCCUCCCCAUUAUGGGCGGAAAAUUGGAUGAAAAAAUAAAAGCAAGAGUAAUUUUUCACAUUUAUCCCUUCUACAAAAGAAAAAAAAAAGAAAAAAAUGAGUUCUUUUACAUAAUGUUUGAGUGCAUUUAUGUUCUGCCGAAGUAUCAUAUUUAUCAUUUAGUUUAGUUUUAAUUUCGAUUUUUUAUUUUUUAAUUAAAAAAAAGUAUCUAAUAAAAAUACCAAAACUCAACCUCUACUGCAAAAUCAGAAUGUAUUUCUCAUUUAUUCACGAUGUUACCCUUAACAUUCUAAUUCAACCAUUUUCGGUCUAAGUUUACACAAAUAGAUUAGGGUUUUAUGAUUUUUAAUAUAAUUUUUUUUUAUAUAUGAAACUAAGUCUGUAAUAUGGACUUUAUGAUAGUUCUUGAAAUUUUAUUUUUCGUUUUUAAUUUAAAGUUAUAGCAUUGUAGUAUCUAUUUUUUAGAUUAUUUUUUCUGUUUUGCAAUCAGUUAUGAACCUUGUAAUUUGGAUGCGUUAUUUUUUUUGCUCUGUUAUAACUAAAAAAAUCAAAAGGUGUGAAGAUAAAAAAUCAAGAGUUUUUUAAAUUGUGUUAGUUACAAAUAAAGGUUAGAGUGUUAUCAAUUUUAAAUAUUUUAUUUGAUCUUUUUAUAUAUAUAUUGUUUAUUCUGUUGUUGUUGUUGAUGUUAGUUUUUGGCUUUUGUUAAAAAUGGCAUUGCAAUAUAUAAAUUUGAAAUGUAUUAAACGUAGGAAAAAAUUGUCUUUCAUUCGUUGCUUGCUUUAAACAUGAUUUGAUUAUUUUUGUAGUUUGGACAUGUAAUAUACGUUGGUGAUGAAAAUUGAAAAUUAUUUGAUUGUAGUAUUGUAAUUGAAAUCAUAACAUAAAAAAUAUUUUUUUUAAUGAUUUUCCAUUUCCCCAUAUAUUCAACUUUAUAGUUGAAAAUCAAGAGCGUAGGUUAGCUGUUCCUAAAGGUAAUUAGGGACAUAUAUGCACUAUUGAAAGUGAAGAAUAUUUAUCAACUUUUCUUAAAGAAAUUGGAAGAGGGAUAAGCGACUUUGCACAAUAACAAUGUGUUAUACUGUACACAUGUUAUAUUUACUGAAUGUAUUAGCCAAGAAGGUUGAGAAACCCAUAAGAAAUCACAUUAUUGGGAGAGAACAAAUUCGAGCCACUUUGUUGCAACAGUUGCGCAAAACCAACAAGUGUCGUAAUAUUUUGCGAAAGGGCCCUCAUGCCUAUAUAGAGUUAUGUGAAAAACUAAGGUCAACUGGUCAUGUGAAAGAUACUAUACAUGUCACACUUGAAGAGCAAGUAGCUAGAUUCUUAUAUAUUAUAGCUUAUAAUGUUAAAAAUAAAACCAUUUCAUUUUUCUUCCACCGAUCCGGAGAAACAAAAUGUCGUAAUUUCUAUGCUGUUUUAAGAGUUGUAAUCUCACUUGAAAAAGAGUUUCUUCAGCAACCUUCCGGAACUACCAUUUCUUCAGAGAUUCUUCAUAGCAAUAGAUUUUACCGAUAUUUUAAGGUAUGACUAGUUGCACAUUGAAGUAGAUAGUUAUAGUUAGCAUACACAAUAAAAUUUUCUUUUUAAUUAAGCAAUAUCAUAUAGGAUUGUAUUGGAGCCAUUGAUGGAACACAUGUUAGAAUCAAAGGUUCCAAUAGCUAAUCAACCUAAAUUUUGUGGUAGAAAAGAAUGGCCAACUCAGAAUGUACUUGCUAAGUAUGGCUUUGAUAUGAGAUUCACAUAUGCUUUAGGAAGAUGGGAAAGCACUGCAUCUGACUCAAAAUUCUUAAGAGUGCAUUAUCAAGGGAUGAUAGGCUCAAAUUCUAAGAGGUAUAUUUGUUAAAAAAAACUUUGACAUGUUUAAAUAAAGUAGUGAUAUCUAAAGUAUGCUCUCUAUAUGAAUUUUUUUAGGAAAAUUUUACCUUGAAAAAUGUUGUAUUCAUUCUUAAACAUGCUCUAAUUACUUCAUAUUGAGGUGAAAAGUACCAUCUAAAGGAGUUUGCUAGAACCUAAAAAUGCGUACUAAUUAUUUAAUCUCCGUCAUUCGUCCUUACGAAAUGUGAUCGAACGAUCCUUUAGAGUUUUGAAAAAUAGGUUUACAAUAAUAGCAAGUGGUACAGAACCAUAUUAUGAUGUGGAGGUUAUGGUGACAUUGUCCGAGCAUGCAUUAUACUCUACAAUUUUUUAAUGAAUGUAGAUCCUGAUUAGCUUUUAAUUGCUCAAGUGGAUCCAGAAUUACAAAAUAAUAAUCCAAAAGCCACUUAUGAGAAAAGGGAAGAAGUAAGUGAAGAUUAUAAGCGAGGUGCAGCUCUUAGGGAUAACAUUGCGGCUCAAAUGUAGGUUGACUAUCAAAUGAGAAAAUGAUAUUUUUGUAAACCUAUCAUCCUUACUAACGAGAAUUACAUUUUAGUUUCAACGAAAAAUGUAAUGUGUGAAUUUUAUGUGAAUGUCAUGUGCAUUAUGUAUCACACUAAUAUUUUGAAAUACGUAAAACUCAUGAACAUUGUGAAUUCGUGAUAUUAUUGUAUAUAGAAUGUGUAGUUAAAACAUUCACUUAUGAUGACAAUGAUUUUCUAGAAUUAAUUAAAUUACUUGUAACAUACAAAUCACUUCUUAAGGUAAUAUCCUUGAUUAAUUGAUGAAUUAAUUAUUAACACUUAGAUAAAUCCCAUUUUUAGGGUUUAUUUGGUGCUUAAUUUAGGAGAUUUUAUCACCUUUUCUUACAUUUAUCCAAAAAAAUAGCAUGGUUUCAUAAUUGUCUCCUAAUUUGUGCUUAAGUGUGAAAAUAUAUUUUUUAGGCCUUAAUUGGCUAAAUUUAAUUCACCUUUGAUUCCAUUAGAUGCCUUGAUGUGUUUGUUAGUGAAUUCAGGAUAGAAAGUCUAGGAAUGGAUCAAAGGGGUGAAGAGAAAAAGCAUGCAAGUGGAGAACUCAUGAAGAAACAAGGAUUUGGGAUGCUGAGAUCGACGCGCACGCACAGCAUACGCGCACGCGUGGAUUGUGAGGUCGCAUGGCGACGCGUACGCGUACUUGACACGUACGCGUGGAUAGCAAUUUGUCAAGCGACGCGUACACGUGACCCACGCGUACGCGUCGGUGCUCGCACGUGACUCACUUAAAGGCAAUUCGCUGGUGGUGAUUUCUGUGCUUCGCAGGCCCAAAUCCAACUCACAUCUGAUGCUAUUUAACCCAAGGAUUGAAGGCGGAUCAACCAUCUAGUUACCAAUUAGUCUUAGUUAGGUUAGAGGUAGAUUAGGAUUUCUUAGAUUUAGGUUAAUUUCAUGCUUUGAUUUACUUUUCCUUUUGUAAUUCUUGUUCUUCUACAUCUCCUCUCUCUAGUUUAGCAUUUAAUUCUUGUAAUUCACUACUUUGAUAUUGAUGCACUUUUGUUUCUUCUAUUUUCUUUUAAUGCAAAUCAUGAUUCAUGUUCCUUUACUGUUCAUUUGAUUUGUUGUUGUUAAUUCCUUGCUUUUGGUAGUUAUAGAUUUAUAAUUCUUGCAAUUUGAUCUUACUUUCCUUUUGUGCCUUCCAAGUGUUUGGUAAAAUACUUGGAAAGAACUUAGAGUAGAUUUUUGUGUUUUUGGCUUGGGAAGGUAACUUAAGAAUUCUUGAGUCACUAAUGUCCAAGUGAUUGAUAAUUGGUAGCCAUUGACUCUAGCUUGCACUAAUUCAAUUAGUGAGUGGCCAGGACUUAUGGACUUGGAUUGAUAUAUCUCAUUUGACUUUCCUUUACUUGUUAAAGGAUGACUUAAUGGGAUUGAUCCUUGCAAUUAUCAUGUUGUGGUUAGUGAUAAGGAUAGAGAUUCUUGACCACCAAACCUUGCCAAGACCUCUUUUUACCAUUUAAUUUUUAUUGCCAUUUACUUUUCUUGUUUCUUACCCAAAACCCCAAAAGAUACUUCAUAGCCAAUAACAAGAACACUUUAUUGCAAUUUCUAGGGAGAAUGACCCGAGGUUUGAAUACUUCGGUUAUUAAUUUUAGGGGUUUGUUACUUGUGACAAACAAUUUUUUGUAUGAAAGGAUUAUUGUUGGUUUAGAAACUAUACUUGCAACGAGAUUUCAUUUGUGAAUUCUAAAGCGUCAAGAAUCCAUUAAUCAAAAUGGGAGGUUAGGAAUGCUUGGUUUGGUGCAAGAACAUGGAAAAAUUUUGAAAAACAGAGCAUCAAUCCACGCGCACGCGUGCCUCACGCGUACGCGUAACCCAAGUAUUUUCGACCAUCCACGCGCAUGCGUCACCCACGCGUACAUGUGGAUGCAAAAAUUUUACCUCCCAGCCAUUUUCCAGAGAGUUGCGCCUAUACUGCACCAACAUUGUGCCUGAGGCACGAAAAUCAACCCACGCGUAUGCAUGCCUCACGCGUACGCGUCGCCUCUCUGGUUUGCCAUGCACGCGUACGCACUAUCCACGCCUACGCGUCGCGCCAUUUCACCUCAAUCCACGCGGACGCGUGACAGACGCAUAUGCGUGGAUAGCCCUCUUCCAUCACCUUCUUUUCUCAUCUUCUUCUCAUUUCUUUCCUUCUUCUUUCUUCUUUCCUUCUCCUACCCCUCAUCCAACACUACCAAACACCAUUUAUAACCAUUCCUUUUCGUUAGUUGUUUAGUUAGUUUAAAUCUUCAUUUUAUUUUCUCUUUUUCAUACUAAGUGUUGGAUUGUUAAUCUUGUUUACUGUCCAUUGCUGCUGACUAUUGAUGAAAUGUUAGUUUAACAUCCUUGUUGUUAAUUUCUAUUGUUGGAUUUCAUUGUUGAGGAUACAAUUAAUUACUUAGUUUUUGAACCUUUUCAUGCUUAAUUUUGAGUACACCAAGUUUAUGAGACUUUGCCUUCAAGCUUUUUAAAUCUUUUUGAAUUGCAUGACUUGGCCACCAUGUGAUUUAAAUUCUUUUCUUUGAUUAGGCAAUUUCUUGAUGGAUGUUAUGCAUUUAUCUUAAUACAUUGUGUUUCAUGAUCAUAUGCAUCCAUAUGUUGUUUUUGGCUUGAAUGCUUUCAUGCUUCUUUAUUGCUUGUUUGGUUAUUUUGACCCACAAGUUUAGAGCAUCUCAAGCAAAUUAGGGUGAGUGAAGUGCAUGCUUCUUUUUGUGUAAAUGUGACAUAGCUUUUUAUGCUAGUGUGUUCUAGACCGCAUGCAUCUUAGAACUCACAGGCGUGUUUCAUUAAUGUAACACACUUGGUCACUGAUGCACCACUAUUUUAUGGUACAUCUUGUGCUUAAUUGAGUGGAUUUUAUCCACUAUUCUCACACUUGUUCAUGUAAAUUGCAUGUUUUACAUUUUUCUUCCUAAUUCUGUGUUUUGAUUGAAAACAUGCUUCUUUGGCCUUAAAAUUGCUAAUUAUUAAUUCCCUCUUAUUACCAUUUAAUUCCUUGAUAUGUGUGUUAAGUGAUUUCAGAGUUUAUAGGGCAGGAAUGGCUUAGAUGAUGGAAAGGAAGCAUGUAAAAGUGGAAGGAAUACAAGAAACUGAAGGAAUUGUAAAGCUGUCCAGCCUGACCUCUUGGUACUAACUCGACCAUAACUUGAGAUACAGAGGUCCAAAUGAGGCGGUUUCAGUUGCGUUGGAAAGCUAACAUCCGGGGCUUCGCAAAGAUAUAUAAUUUGCCAUAGCUGCCUUGAAGAUAGGCGACGCGCACGCGUGGAUCACGCACACGCAUGGCCUGGAGAAAACUCAAUCCACGCGUACGCGUGGACGACGCGUACGUGUGACUUUGCAUCGUGCUGGACGUAUCAGAAAUUGCUGGAGGCGAUUUUUGGGCUAUUUCUGACCCAGUUUUUAGCCAUGAAAACACAGAUUAGUGGCUAUAAAGUGGGGGAGGGGGGAAUCGAUUCAUUCAUAAAAAAAAGGACAACAAUCAUAAUUCACAAUUUUAGGUUUUAGAUGUAGUUUCUAGAGAUUUAGGAUUUUGGAUUUUUCUUAGGUUAGGUUUACUUCUUCUCCUUUCCAGGUUCAAUGUUCCCUUAAUGUGAUUUCUCUUCUACUUUUAUUUACUCUAUUACUUUAGUUGCUCUAUUUCACUUGCUAAUUACUUAUGUUGCGAAAUUGGCUUAUGAACUCUUCAUGUUAAUUUGAUUUCCUAUUUAAUACAAUUCGAGGUAUUUCAGAUUUAUGGUUGCUUUCUUCUAUUUAUGAUAUAAAUAAUUUGGAUUUUUCCCCUUUUGGCUUUGGUUGAGUAAUUGUUGACACUUGAGUUGUCAAACUCAGCUGUUGAUUGAAAAUUGGAAAUUGCUGAUUGAUUUGGAUCCCUCUAAAGCUAGUCUUUCCAUAGGAGUUGACUAGGACUUGAGGAAUCAAAUUGAUUAGUCCACUUGACUUUCCUUUAUUUAGUAAGGAUUAACUAAGUGGGAGCAAUAACAAUUCUCAUCACACCUGAUAAGGAUAACUAGGAUGGGAUUUUCAGUUCUCAUACCUUGCCAAGAGUUUUUCUAGUUUUUAAUUUAAUUUCCUGUUCCUUAUUCAAAAACUCCAAAAAGAUAAUCUUCCAUAACCAAUAAUAAAUACAUCUCCCUACAAUUCCUUGAGAGACGACCCGAGGUUUAAAUACUUCGGUUAUCAAUUUUAUUAGGGGUUUGUUACUUGUGACAACCAAAAAUUUUGCACGAAAGGAUUUCUUGUCAGUCUAGAAGCUAUACUUGCAACGAGAACUUAAUUGUGAAAAUUCUAGACCGCGCGAGAGUUUUGUUCGUCAAAAUGAUGCCGUUGCCAGGAAAAUGCAAACGUGUGCCUUAUUAUUGGUUAUUGUAAAUAUUUGCUUUUGCUUGUUUAGUUGUUUUUGUUUUUAAUUUUUUUAUUAGCUACUAUGAAUUCUCACCCCUAUCGCUAUGAGUUUGGUUCCAAUGUUGUUGUAAGGAAUGGAAGCUAUAAUGAGAACAGGCAUCAAGGUUGGAAGAAUCAAAGAUGGGAGGAGCCACAAGGAUUUGAUCAACCCUCUUGGCAACAACCCCCUCUAAUGCACUCUAACCAACAACCAUUCUGUAAUGCAUACCAAGACAAUAGUUAUGGUGGACCCUUUCGUGACAAACCAUUUCCACCAAAUUACUAUGGUCAAGAGCCAUUCCAGGGAGCGUACCAAGAUGAUGAAUAUGGUGGACCCCCUUGUAGUUACCAACAAGCCCCACCAUAUGCUUAUGAACCACCUCUCCAACAUACCUUUGAACCACCAUACUCACAAGCCCCCUUCCACCAUUCACCUCCAUAUGACACUAACCCUUAUCCACCAUACCAACCACCCUAUAAGCCGUACGAACCAUACAUAGAGCCACCCCAAUUCUAACCCAAUUACUCCCAAGAACCACCACCUCCAUAUACACCAUGUCCAUAUCCAUCAAUCCAAGAGCACUAUCAUCCUACUUAUGAUAGCCGAGCGCAACAAGAAUCAAAGGAUCGUCUCGAGGAAACAGUAGAUCGAUUUCAUGCAACCCUUCAUCAAUUGGAGCAAGCAAUAAAUCGAUUAGCUUCCCAACGUUCGGACACUCAAGGAACUCCCACGGCUUCAUGUGGAGAAUCUACUGAAGAACGUAGCAUGAAGGAGAAGCUAGAAACUCUAGUGGACAGUGAGCAGUAUAACUUUAUAUUGGAACAAUUGGAGGAAGCCGUAAUCGUUGAAGAGGAAGAAGUGGUCAAAAACUUAGGAGAUGCGGAACGUCCAUGGAAAAGCCCAGUCAUAGAGUCCCCUUCUAAGGGGAUGAUCAAGAGAUGGAUUCAAUCAUUGAUGAAUUCUUAUCUACAUUUGAAUCCUCUCCCAUUGGACUUGACAUGGAGAUUAAAGAAGAAGAAGCACAACCUCCCAUGCCCUUGGUGAACAAUGAAGAAGAGAUCGAAUUGGAAGAAAGCUACCAAGAGGAAGAGGUUGAUAUUGAAGAAGCUUGCAAAGAGGUGGAAGUUGUUAAAGAAGAGCCCAAGGGAAUGGAGCUGGAGAUCACCUUGCCAAGGUUGUUGGAGACUUCUCCCCCAAAGCCAUCACCAUCCAUCCCUUCAUUCAAGUGGGUAAAUCUCUCAUCUCUAAGCUUAAUUAGCCCACUUGAAUAUGCUUUGCUUGAGACGGAUGGGCAACUUAGAGCUCUUUGUGGCUAUAAGAGUAAGAGGGAGAUGGUCAGUGGUUGGCAACACAAUCCUAGGUUCAUUGUGGUAGGAAGCUCACGGCUGAAUUAUCAUGGUUGGAAGAAUACUAAAUUGUAUGGGUCUAGGAAGCUGUUUGGAUGCCUCAGUGAGAAUUCAGAUUGCUUACCACCCGGUUGGAACAAAGAUGGUCAACAAGAAGACGGGUGCAAAAGCAAGGUUUGGGACCCUGGAAUUCAGUCCAGCAAUCAACACUCUUGGGGCCUUGUCACUUGCUUAAUCUUGCUUGAAGGCUCUUUGCGCCUAGUUUGGGAUUCCGGAGGCCAUUGGAAUUACAAACAUUGGUGGGGAUUCCUGGAUGAGUUCAAGCACAAGCCACCAUAACAAGGGACUCACCAAAUGUCCAACUUAAAAAGUGCUAGGUGGGAGACAACCCAACAUGGUAUAUUCUUUCCUUUUUGUUCUUAGUUUUAUUUUAUUUUCAUUCGUGUUCAUUCAUAAUUUCUGCACAGUCAUUUGCAUUAUGCAUUUUGCAUUUUGCAUUCUGCAUACUGCAUAAAAAAAAAUUUGUACGCGACGCGCAAGCGUCGCUGAUGCGUACGUGUCAUAUGUGCAUGCGAAACAAAGAAGAACUAAACAAACAGUUGUGCGAGAGCAUGGCUGGAGGCGUGCUUUAGGCACAAACACGCCCACGUGUACGCGUCCCUGACGCGUCCGCGUCACUUGCAAAAUCAGCCUUCCACGCGUACGUGUCACCCACGCGUACGCGUGACCCUACAAAUUCGACGUAAAAGGUGUAUUGGCCGAAAGUUAUGCUGGCUUGGUGCUGGAAUUUUGCUAGAAGCACAAACCCACCCACGCGUAUGCGUCGUUAACGCGUGCGCGUCAUUUUCCACUUUUGCACUUCCAAACAUGNNNNNNNNNNNNNNNNNNNNNNNNNNNNNNNNNNNNNNNNNNNNNNNNNNNNNNNNNNNNNNNNNNNNNNNNNNNNNNNNNNNNNNNNNNNNNNNNNNNNNNNNNNNNNNNNNNNNNNNNNNNNUUCAUUCAAGUGGGUAAAUCUCUCAUCUCUCAGCUUAAUUAGCCCACUUGAAUAUGCUUUGCUUGAGACGGAUGGGCAACUUAGAGCUCUUUGUGGCUAUAAGAGUAAGAGGGAGAUGGUCAGUGGUUGGCAACACAAUCCUAGGUUCAUUGUGGUAGGAAGCUCACGGCUGAAUUAUCAUGGUUGGAAGAAUACUAAAUUGUAUGGGUCUAGGAAGCUGUUUGGAUGCCUCAGUGAGAAUUCAGAUUGCUUACCACCCGGUUGGAACAAAGAUGGUCAACAAGAAGACGGGUGCAAAAGCAAGGUUUGGGACCCUGGAAUUCAGUCCAGCAAUCAACACUCUUGGGGCCUUGUCACUUGCUUAAUCUUGCUUGAAGGCUCUUUGCGCCUAGUUUGGGAUUCCGGAGGCCAUUGGAAUUACAAACAUUGGUGGGGAUUCCUGGAUGAGUUCAAGCACAAGCCACCAUAACAAGGGACUCACCAAAUGUCCAACUUAAAAAGUGCUAGGUGGGAGACAACCCAACAUGGUAUAUUCUUUCCUUUUUGUUCUUAGUUUUAUUUUAUUUUCAUUCGUGUUCAUUCAUAAUUUCUGCACAGUCAUUUGCAUUAUGCAUUUUGCAUUUUGCAUUCUGCAUACUGCAUAAAAAAAAAUUUGUACGCGACGCGCAAGCGUCGCUGAUGCGUACGUGUCAUAUGUGCAUGCGAAACAAAGAAGAACUAAACAAACAGUUGUGCGAGAGCAUGGCUGGAGGCGUGCUUUAGGCACAAACACGCCCACGUGUACGCGUCCCUGACGCGUCCGCGUCACUUGCAAAAUCAGCCUUCCACGCGUACGUGUCACCCACGCGUACGCGUGACCCUACAAAUUCGACGUAAAAGGUGUAUUGGCCGAAAGUUAUGCUGGCUUGGUGCUGGAAUUUUGCUAGAAGCACAAACCCACCCACGCGUAUGCGUCGUUAACGCGUGCGCGUCAUUUUCCACUUUUGCACUUCCAAACAUGCGCGUGCCUGACGCGCACGCGUCAUAUGACAUUUUGGCACAUAUCCCAAAACGAACAGAGGGUUGUGCGUGCGCGAGGCUGGCUUCACGCGAGUAGCACAAACUCGGUCACGUGUACACGUGCGCGACACGCUCGCGUCGCCUUCUCAAUUGUGCGCCCCACGCGUACGCGUCGACAGUGCCGCAUGACCAGAACCCUGCAAUGCCCACUUUACUUAUCUUUUCUUUCCCAAUCCUAAUUUCUUUUCUUCUAUCUUCUCUCCCUUCUUAUUCUUUCUCUUUCCUUUCUUACUUCCUUCUUCUUCAUUUCUUUGACUUCUCCUCCUUAUUUUCUUCCAUUCUAUUUUACUUAAUUUAUUUAUAUAUUUUCGUUCAUUACAUUUUAACUGUAUACAUGUUUUUUAUUUUCUUUUCUAUGUUUAUUAUUUUUCUAUUGGUGUUAAAUGUCCUUAUUCCACUGUUGCAUUUCUCUUGCUUUCUUUUGGUGCUUCGUGACUUGUUUCCAUUGUUAGGUAAUAUUAUUUAUAGGUCAAUGCUAAUUUUUUAUGAUACUUGUAUUCCAUUUGCAUUGACAUGCUCCUAUAUUGUCUUUCAUUACCUACACUCUCUCCCCUAUUAUUGCACUUUUUGCACUAUUGAUAUGCCAUUUACUUCUAUUGUUUUCUCACUUGCAUGUUGUAGCUACCAUGUAAUUGAGACCCUCAUUAUUCGGCAUAAACCCACCCAUAUUUUAUUUGUUUUCCAUCUUUGCUCUUGGGUUACUUUUCCUCCUGUUCCUCUUCUUUCAGGGUGGCCAUCGAGAACGGAAAGGAGAAGUUUCUAAAUGGGACGAACAACAAGUCCAUCUGCAUAAUCCACUAAAGAAGGAGCAUCAAUUGGAGUAACCCGCCCACUUGCGCAUCUCAGCAUGCACCGAGGACGGUGCAAUCUUUAAGUGUAGAGAGGUCGAUACCGAUCUCCAUGGGUCAGUACUUUCCUGUCUCAACACCAAUGUUUAAAUUUUCUUUGUAGUUAGUUAUUGCA
RNAcentral lists this long non-coding RNA (12294 nucleotides) under Arachis ipaensis. RNAcentral describes it as "long non-coding RNA (AIPA_LNC002222)". Lineage: Eukaryota; Viridiplantae; Streptophyta; Magnoliopsida; Fabales; Fabaceae. The record is from RNAcentral.